Myotis davidii is the source of this 109-nucleotide long non-coding RNA. RefSeq lists it as uncharacterized. The record is from RefSeq and is a predicted model, not a curated record. NCBI's taxonomy places the organism in Eukaryota, Metazoa, Chordata, Mammalia, Chiroptera, Vespertilionidae. The transcript has 3 exons.
AUGGGCCUCAAAUCUAUACUAAUUAAAGGGUCAUAUGCUAAAUAGGGCAGGCAUCUUCCGGACGUCCAUUCAGACAAAGUUAUAGCAGCUGCGAGGCCUGGGGCUCAGG